RNAcentral lists this long non-coding RNA (763 nucleotides) under Parus major (Great Tit). RNAcentral's name for it is "lncRNA (ENSPMJG00000014019.1)". The record is from RNAcentral. Lineage: Eukaryota; Metazoa; Chordata; Aves; Passeriformes; Paridae.
GAUAAUGGUCUGCAAUUUGUUUUCCAGAACUGGGAAUAGCUGCCAGCACUGCUCUCAGGGAAAGGCAGUGGCUGUUUACCUGCCCUGGCCAGCCAGUCCUGGGAGGACAGGAGAACAAUUAAAUGGUUUACCUUACUCACAAUAACUACUUUCCUGUAACAUGGCUGGAAAGAAAGAAGGAAUCCUAUUGACAUUCCCAUUGGUGAAAGUCAGAACAUGAGGGUCUGGAUCCCAUCCAGUAACAGAACUAAAUCCAGUCCUGUGUCAGGAUGAUGUAACCACCAGGGGAUUGCAGAUGCCAAGCACAGGAUAUGUGUGGAGGUGUGGACAGCUGGGAUUGUCUGCUCAUCCACUGGCCUAACUGCCUGAGCCAGCACAAAGGAUGGAGGGCAUAUCCAAAGCUCUCAUAAGGAGACUGAAACCAUGGGCUGGAUUUGCUAAGGGCUGUGAAACUUUUUCUGCCUUAUUGGGAGGAAAUAUGUACUGGGUUGCCAAGGUGGAAUUUUAUCAGCUUGCCUUCAAAGUCUACUGGAGACAGGAGAAAGCUGCCUUAGGACUUCAGCAUCCCAGGAACUAGGUGAGUAUCCUUGUUCUGUGUUUUCCACUCCUUAUGGCUUGGUAAUGCAUCUUAUUGUAAACAGGCAAACUCGGGAGCAACAUCCACAGUUCUGGUUGCUUUGUUCCAGAAAAAAAUGGUUUUGAAGGACCUCAGCAUGAUUCCAUCCUAAUUCGGAAUACUGCACAAUGCUGAAGAAAUGAGGAA